Molecule: long non-coding RNA, 980 nt
Filed under: Erythranthe guttata (spotted monkey flower)
Lineage: Eukaryota; Viridiplantae; Streptophyta; Magnoliopsida; Lamiales; Phrymaceae
Description: long non-coding RNA (EGUT_LNC001244)
Source: RNAcentral
CUUACCCCUCCUCGGCCGCCAAUGGUUUGCCGGUGAAUGCUUCGUCGCCUAUUGAAAUUUCUGAAUUUAUUGGUAAUUUAAAUUGAAGAUUGGACCGUUUUUUUGCAUUUUGUAAUUGAUCAUUCAGUCGCCAAAUUGGUACACUACAAAUGGAACCAUCCCUUUUGGAUUUUUGGGUUUUACUAUUUUUUUAAGUUUCUCGUUUCUUUUUUUUCCUCUAUCAAUUUUUUGCAUUUUUUGUUGGAUUUAUUUCAACAUACCAAUCUAAUAAAACCAUGUCCGUAAUUUAUAAAUUAAAUGGGCGUAAAUAUUGAAUUUGUUGAAUUAAUUAGGUGGGCAAUGGUAAUUGUCUUCGGAUUAACUUUAGGGUUGUUUUGUCAUUUUUUUUAAAUUUUUGUUGUAGUGAAUCUCCGUGAAAUUGAAGAAGCAUAUUCAACCACGUCUCAUAUAAUCACUCCUAUGAAUUGAUUUAAUAUGUUAUUCUUUCGGUGUUUUAUAAUAGCAGAUUUUGAUAAGACUAUAGUGGAUUUCAAGUUAUUGUCCUUGUUUAGAAAAAAAAAAUGAGUGUUUGUGUAGCGGUGAAGGUGUCCAAAAUAGUUGUUUUUGUUACCUUUGUCAGUUGUUUUUUUCUAUUUUCAUGAUAAGUUUUGUUAUUUUUGCAAAUUAUUUUUAUAGUGGAUUAGAUUAAUAUUUGAGUGAGUUUUGAUAUUUUUUAUAGUGGAUUUUGAUGAGAUUGUAGUGGAUUUCAAAUUCUUGUUUUGGAAACCGAUUUUUUUUAUGAAUUAAAUUUACGCAUUGUCUUUUUUUUUUUUUUUUCUCAGGUUCUUCCACAAGCGGAGUGAUGGCAGCAAGUGGGACGAGGUUGGGUGAUGCUCGGGUGCCUCUACAAUUGUCUGUGAUGACGUUGUUUACUAAAGGGGAUUUUGGUAGUGGAUCGGAUUUAGGCAAAUUUGUAGUGGAUUUUCUCUUUUGUAAAGGUG